UAGCCCAGUUGGUUAGAGCGUGGGGCUGAAAACGCCAAAGUUGUGGGUUCGAUCCCCAU
This 59-nucleotide transfer RNA is filed under the name Apaloderma vittatum (bar-tailed trogon). It matches the Rfam family "tRNA", at positions 8 to 63 of the family's 71-position model. From Rfam's summary of the family: Transfer RNA (tRNA) molecules are approximately 80 nucleotides in length. Lineage: Eukaryota; Metazoa; Chordata; Aves; Trogoniformes; Trogonidae. The record is from Rfam by way of RNAcentral.